This 1585-nucleotide long non-coding RNA is filed under the name Zea mays. RNAcentral describes it as "long non-coding RNA (ZMAY_LNC002166)". The record is from RNAcentral. Lineage: Eukaryota; Viridiplantae; Streptophyta; Magnoliopsida; Poales; Poaceae.
UUAUCUUACCUUACCUAUCCUUGCUGUUAUCUAACCAUACCUUACCUUUUCUGUUAUCUUACCUUACCUUAUCCUUGCUGUUAUCUGACCAUACCUUACCUUUUCUGUUAUCUUACCUUACCUAAUCCUUGCUGUUAUCUGACCAUACCUUAUCCUUCCGUGUAGGCCGUGAGGAACCGGUGCGCGCCACCUUGACGGCGACGAAACUGGUGCUCUGGCCUCUGAGUUGUGAUGGAGCAAUGUGUUGGUGGUGAGAAUAGUCCAUCUCAGUUCAUCAACAAUGAUCUGGAUGUUGUGCCCUGUUAUGAUAAUGAUCCAUCUCAGUCCAUUAACAAUGGUAGCAGUGCUGCCCCUAUUAACCUAGAGGAGGGUGCAGCUACCAAUAAUGGUGCUGCAGACACUUCAGAAAAUGUUGAUGGUAAGAAGCAUAAAAGAAUUUGCACAUCUAAAGUUUGGCAUGAUUUCGAGCCGCUCUACAAGACUGUAGACGGCAAGAGGAUAAGGUAUGGUGGUAAGUGUCACUGGUGCAAAUCUACAUUGACUGUUGUGUCUACUAGUGGUACUGGUCAUUUGCUUAGGCACCAACGUGAUUGCAAAGUUAAGCUUUCUAAACAAGGCAAGCAGUCAAUCCUUAAGUUUAACCCUGAUGGUUCUGUUCGUAACUGGGAUUACUGUCCUGAUCGUGCUAGAACUCAGAUGUGUAGGUUGAUUGCUAGGCUUGAUCUUCCACUUAAUUUUGCUGAGUCACCUGCUUUUGAGGAGUAUAUUAGACUAUCUCAUAAUCCUGUCUUUAAGAAAGUAUCUCAUCAAACUACUGCUAGGGACUUUGUCAAGUUCUUUAAUGAUCGUCGUAAGAUAGUUGUUGAGUGCUUGCAAUCUGUUUCUUCUAUUGCAAUUACAUCUGAUAUUUGGAGUGGUAAUGCUAAGGAAGACUAUCUUAGUGUGGUUGCUCAUUAUGUUUCUAAGGACUGGGCAUUAGAAAAGAGGGUCAUUGGCCUUAGACUAAUUGAAACAGCUCACACUGGUGAGAACAUUGCUGAGAGGGUUAUGACUGUGCUUCAAGAUUAUGGUGUUGUUAAUAAAGUUUUUUCUGUAACCUUGGAUAAUGCCUCCUCCAAUUCUAAAGCUAUGGAGAAGCUUAGUCCAUCCUUAGCUGCAUAUGUUGGUACUUUAUUCUUGCAUCAACGUUGUGCUUGCCAUAUUAUCAAUUUGAUUGUGAAAUGCGGCUUGAAAAGACUGCAACCUUACCUUGAUUCAUUUAGAACUGCAAUUGUCUUCUUGAAUGCUUCUAAUCAGCGUAUUGUUGCAUUUAAGGGUUAUUGUGUUGCUAUGAAUGUACGACCUCGUAAAUUUGGCAUUGACAUGCCCGUGAGAUGGAAUUCUACAUAUCUUAUGCUUAAGCAUUUAAUUCCUUACAAGGGAACCUUUGGUGUGUUCAUAGACACUAACUAUCCUAGAAAACCAGGUGAACCUAAUCUGUUGACAAAUUCGCAUUGGUAUGUGGCUGAAAAGUUGCUUCAGUUUCUUGAACUGUUUUAUGAUGCUACUGUGACCCUUUCUGGGGUUUACUAUCCUACAUCUCCAC